AACAGAACAGAGGAGCAACAACAACAUUAGAGGAUUUUACCACCAAGGAAAUUAUUUCAGUCCAGUUAUUUGAAUUCAGGGAAUUAGUACUCAAUUUCUUUCAUGGCAAAAUGGUUUAGAAGGCAACUACAGCAGCUGCAUCUGUGGACUGAGCUUUUACUGUAUGAAAUUAAAUUUGUAAAACUCAAUUAUGGAACUUUGGGGCACAGCUAGAUUGACCAUCAUCGACUGCUCAGUUCAUGGCAAUUAUUAGGAUUGCAAAUACUUAUUUUCAGACUCAAAUCAUUCCUCGGUCUGUAAAAUAUUGCAAAAUAAUAUUUCCAAGGUGAUGUUCUUCAAAAACUCCAAGGUGUUCCAUCUACACAGAUAUAAAAGAGAGAAAAGCUGCAUACUCUCACAUUUUAGAAGAUAGAAGCUUCAAAUGUUAAUUAAUAUUAUAUUAAUACAUUAUUUAAGAGACUGAUAAUCAAAAAAGUUGUUAAAUAAUUUUUGACAGCACAAUUUGCUUUCACUGUACAGUCACGAAGAUGCUAUUAUUUCUAACUGAUACUGAUCCAUAUCCAAUGCAGUGGAUGUACAGUAUUUAUUUAAGUGGCAUAAUGUUGCCUCAUAGGUGAAGAGCAUUGUUUCUGCUUAUUUGAAGGCUCUUCUCAAGAGAGCCUACUCUCACUGAGACCCUGCUUUCAUUGUCUCUCUCUUCUACUGAAGGAUAAAAUUCACUCUGGUGCUGGUUUCAACAAGCAAACACUGACAAGAGGCAUACAGUACAAUCUUCCCUUGUCAACGCUGCUGCCAACAUUCAAGCUUAGAAGGUACUUUGCAUUCUCCAUUUAUGUAACUUUGCAGCACCAGCUGGGAUCUGCUCCUCUGUCAAAGAAAACACUUGCACAACUGAUCGACAUUGGCAUAUUCUGCUCCUGUGGAGGCCAAGGACUCCAAUUUUUGCUGGUAAAGGGAAUAAAUUUGCUUUUGUUAAGCUAAGAUGGGAAACAACAUGUCUCAAGUCUUAAGGGCUGUGAUUCAUGUGUGUGUGUAACCAUCCAACAGAAGAGGACUGCUGUGAACAAGAAUGUGUACAAACCAAAGUUAAAUUGAAUUAAAAAUCAGUUAGGUAUUUAAGGGCAUUCUCACAGUUGUUUUGUUAUGCAAGUUAUUUGUCUUUUUACGUAAGAUUGAUGUGAAAACAAUCAAUGUGCAAGCAAAAUUAUACAAUACGAUUUAUUUAUUUAUUAGUUUUAUUUUUGUUGUUGUUGUUAACAACAGAUCAAAAAAAGUUAGAGCUUAUAGUGAUCACCGGUUUCUAUAGUUCCCAUCAGCCUUAGUGUCUUUCAGCUCACUGUUUUGGUUUUAUGGCCCACAGCUUUACAUAUUAAGUUUUGUCGGCGUUUAUAUUGACUCCCUAUUAAACUUUCACUGUGCAAUUAAACUUUCACUGUACAAUUCUGUGGACAACCCGGUGUGGAUUUUUGCGGAAAUAGGAGGGCUCGAUUCAUGCUCCAUUUACGGUAAACAGGAAGUGCACCUUUCAGACGGGGCUGAAAAUGGCGCGUAUUCAGGCUUGUCAUAGGUCACGUGAUUUCCUGCAUAACUGUACAUACCACGAAGCGGCGUUUCAUCGUGCACGUCCUUUCCUGCUUACUAAGCCCCCGGACACUAUGGCCUCAAACGUCCCAUCAUCAGAUGUUAUUUCAUACAUUUAAUAAGUACAGGCGCAGCUCAUAACCCUCAGCUACACUAGUUGCAGCCGUGGGAUUUCUUCCUGCUUUUAUGCCCGUCUAAGUGCCGUGUGUGAGACAGACGAAGCGGGGUUUUAGCCUUUUAGCUAGCUCUGCCUAGCUUGACUUGCACAAUGUGCAGUUGCCAUAACGUUUGUUAUCUGAACAUAUUAUUCCGUGUCAAUAUGACAGAAGAUUACUGAUGUUGUGGUAACCCAACUAAAUCGGCAUGUAAGCCAACUUGACAGUGAAGGCGGUCGUCUGGACCCGGGGAUUUAAACGGUUUUCGUCAUUGCUUGCCGUGACUGCUCUCAAGGUGGAUCAUGGUGAACUGGCGGUUGAGGAUAUUCCCAUGUCGUUUGGACGCCUCGUUGUCUGAGUCUGUUUUAACGUCUGAGUUUGGAGCAUCACAUGAACUGGAUCACCUGGCCACACCACACCUCCUCUGCAGACACUCGUUUGACUCAACCAAAGGAGUUACACAAUUGCUGUCUUGCUUUUAAUCAUAAAGACUGAAGCAGAGUUUGCUCGUCUUAUAUCUGAAGACCCGAAGGGCUCCCUUUUUGCUGAGUUUGACUAGCAUCUGGCAAGGUGCUUUGAGCAUGAUGAUGACCUCUACACAAAGGAAGAGGACAGUUCUUCUGCUGAGACCUCCUCAUUUUCUCAAGGAAGAUCCCUUGUGUUUCUUCAAGAUUGGAGGCUACAGAUGAGGACAUGUUCACUGAAGGGACUAAAGUUGGCAACGAUGGGUCUUCUUACCUUUAACAUAGAUUAUCCUAGGGAGCAGAGGUACACCUUUGAAGUUAUUCAGAAAGUUCUCAUGAACACAGAGAGGGCAGUGUUGACAGACAGACUGCAGAACAUCUUGCAGACUUGGGCUUUACCACUUUGGCAGUUGCAAUCAGUACAAGGCUGCAUGGUAUUUCAUGCCCUCUCCCAGUGUUGAUGAGCACUUUCUAAUUGACUUCAAAGGUGUACCACUGCUCCUUUAGAUUGUCACUUUUGAGCUUUUAGGUGAGACCAAUCAGCGGAGCAGUGGUUCAUUCAGUAAAGAUUUUCAACUCCCCUUAACCACCCGACAUUUUGGACAACUUUGACAACAAUGGACAUCCCACAAACCACUGCAUGUUUUACUUUUGUACAUAAAAUCUUUAUUAAGAAAUUUGCCCCACUGACCCUUAAGUAACUAAAAAAAAAAAAGAUAAUUAUACACACUUUGAAAUCAAUAAAACAAAUUAACACCAACAAUUUAAAUGCAAGCUUCUCUAUUAAGUAACCAUAACAUAUUAACCAAACAUCAGCCAUAAAAAGGCAAAAUAUAUAAAUACAUUUUUUUUUUAAAUCCAGUAGUAUCAUAAACUGUUCUGCUCAUUGAUUAACUGUCUUGCACACAAUGGUCUAAGAAUUGUGGCUCAGAGUUUACACUAGACUUUUUUUUUUUUUUUUUUUUUUUUGCUCCAGCAGCUGUAUUUUAUUAAAAUACUGUUGUAGGUGAGGGAUGUAACAGUUGUGCUAUAUGCUAAAAUGUGAAGUCGACCUUAGCCACAUGACCAGUGAAUAAUCUCAUUGUUGAGAGCAGGCAUAACCAAACGUUUGCAUUAGUCUCAAGAUGGAUAACUGGUAUUUUUGAACCUGGGCCUCAUUUUCCCAUGUUUUGGUUUGUAAAUGAUUGUUAGGGACAAAACUAUAAAUUGGUGCAGUACUGCACAAGCAUGGUGUACCCAGAAAUUGCCCACAUCAAAGCACAUCCACUCAACUGCUUCUUUUUGCUACUGACAGGCUAAAAUUGUGAAUGUAAGAGUCAUGAUGGAUUGGAUUCCUACAGCGGUGGACCUUUUUAUUAGACAGUAAGUUCCUUUUCAUUUAACCAGAAAAUUUGCUGUAUGUCAUUACCAAACUCUACUGACAAAAACUAAUUUCAUUUAGCAGAACACAGGAGAUGCUGGAAUACCACUGCCUCGAUCAGUUAGUUUGUAUGUGAUGUUGUGUGACUGUCAGUAGUAGAAGUAUUCAUAUCCUUUACAGAACAAUACCACACCAUAACAUAAACAAACUUACAGAUCCCAUCAGUGGUAUUCCAGCAGCUCCCAUGUUCAGCAAGGUAAAAUUACUGUUUUUGUCAAUGGAUGACAAUCUGAGCCCAUCAGUGGCAAAAACAAAGCACUUUAGUGAAUGUAUGUUCGACAUUGCAGCACAACUUACUAUACUAUAACAUUUUAUCUCAUUUUUCACAACAUACUACUUUGACAUUUUUAUCAUAAUUUUUACGCUAUACUUUACUGUGACAUUUUUUGACACCAUACUAUACUAUGACAUUUUUCACAUAAUUCUGACGCCAUACUAUACAGACAUUUUUUUUUUUUACUAUUUUUCAUUCCUCACUAUACUAUGACAUUUUUAUCAUAAUUUUGAUACCAUACUAUACUAAAGCAUUUUUUCAUGGUUUUUGACGCUAUACUAUAACUAUGAUUUUUUUUAUGUUUUUUGACGCCUUACUAUACUAAGGCCUAAGUUCAAAAACUACCAGUCAUCCUUCUUAAAUAUAGAUGUAUGUUCUUCAAAUGCUUUGCUUUUUCUCUGUUGUUUUAACAAUGAGAUAUUUGCUUAGUGUUUGGUCAUGUGACUAGGCUCUACCCAACAUAUUAGCUUUUAGCACCAUCCCUACACGUCAAAGCAGACAUCCCUCAAGGAGUUAAAUUGUGCUGGCUACUUUUAAUAUAAUACAUUUGUUAGAAUAUAAUUUUAAUGGCCAAACAAGAAGUCUAGCAUUAACUCUGGUGUUGGCAAACUCUUUAGGUUAGAUGUAAAAAAAGCAAGAAAACUACAUCAGCCAGUCUGGGGAAAACAAUAACUACAUUACCCUCAAGUAAUGCACAACCACAGUCCUCUCUGUGCAGAAGAACACCACCUCUAUUGAUCUGGUGCUGACUGCUGAGUCCACGUGGAACGUCAUUCAUGUCUGGUUCAUCAGAAUGCCACAGCUAAAGACAACAAAAGAGAACGGUUUCCUGUUACUCCAAAGUUCCAAAGGCUGACAGACCUAUCAGGAGACAUUAAGAAAGCCACAAACACAAUUAAUCACAAUUCGUACAUGUCACUUCCUUUCUGUCAAUCAAGAUGAAACAAAACAAAACACAUGCACAUCUUAAGUGUACUUUGUGUUCACGUAGAACACAGCAGUUGGUUAGGAUAAAACUGAUAAUUGGAAAUUUGUAUUUGUUUUUAUUGUUCCUUUUUUUGUUUGUUUUUGUUUUUUUAUUUACGUGUAGCUUUUUUAAAUAUGAUGCUCAGAACAAAUGUCAUGGCAAAGUAAUAAAAUUUAUAUUGUAAAAGAAAUUCACAACCAAAAAUAUUAGACAAAAGGUAACAAGUGAUUCAUAAUCAACAUUCUCACACUGUUUGAAAUUUUUAUGACCUAUUAAGUGUCCUCUGCA
Long non-coding RNA from Lates calcarifer (barramundi perch), 5149 nucleotides. RefSeq lists it as uncharacterized. The record is from RefSeq and is a predicted model, not a curated record. Lineage: Eukaryota; Metazoa; Chordata; Actinopteri; Centropomidae. The transcript is spliced from 5 exons.